RNAcentral lists this ribosomal RNA (255 nucleotides) under uncultured prokaryote. Its description in RNAcentral is "partial 16S ribosomal RNA". It matches the Rfam family "Bacterial small subunit ribosomal RNA", at positions 524 to 776 of the family's 1533-position model. The record is from RNAcentral.
GACGAACCGUGCGAACGUUGUUCGGAUUUACUGGGCGUAAAGGGCGCGUAGGCGGCCACCGCAAGUCGACUGUGAAAUCUCCGGGCUUAACUCGGAAAGGUCAGCCGAUACUGCGGGGCUAGAGUGCAGAAGGGGCAACUGGAAUUCUCGGUGUAGCGGUGAAAUGCGUAGAUAUCGAGAGGAACACCUGCGGCGAAGGCGGGUUGCUGGGCUGACACUGACGCUGAUUGUGCGAAAGCUAGGGGAGCGAACGGG